Molecule: ribosomal RNA, 1014 nt
Filed under: uncultured bacterium
Lineage: Bacteria
Description: bacterial SSU rRNA
Rfam family: Bacterial small subunit ribosomal RNA
Source: RNAcentral
CCGUAGGAAUAAGCAUCGGCUAACUCCGUGCCAGCAGCCGCGGUUAUACGGAGGAUGCGAGCGUUAUCCGGAUUUAUUGGGUUUAAAGGGUGCGUAGGCGGCUUUUUAAGUCAGCGGUGAAAUUUUGCAGCUUAACUGUAACAGUGCCGUUGAUACUGGGGAGCUAGGAUUUGGUUGCUGUGGGUGGAAUGUGUGGUGUAGCGGUGAAAUGCUUAGAGAUCACACAGAAUAUCGAUUGCGAAGGCAGCUCACAAAGCCAAGAUUGACGCUGAGGCACGAAAGUGUGGGGAUCAAACAGGAUUAGAUACCCUGGUAGUCCACACUGUAAACGAUGAUAACUCGCUGUCGGCGAUACACAGUCGGUGGCCAAGCGAAAGCGAUAAGUUAUCCACCUGGGGAGUACGACCGCAAGGUUGAAACUCAAAGGAAUUGACGGGGGCCCGCACAAGCGGAGGAACAUGUGGUUUAAUUCGAUGAUACGCGAGGAACCUUACCCGGGCUCGAACGGUGCAUGAAUGGACAAGAGAUUGUUCAGACCUUAGGGACAUGUAUCGAGGUGCUGCAUGGUUGUCGUCAGCUCGUGCCGUGAGGUGUCGGCUUAAGUGCCAUAACGAGCGCAACCCUUGUCAUUAGUUACCAUCAGGUAGAGCUGGGGACUCUAAUGAGACUGCCACCGUAAGGUGAGAGGAAGGGGGGGAUGACGUCAAAUCAGCACGGCCCUUAUGUCCGGGGCGACACACGUGUUACAAUGGGGGGUACAGAGGGCAGCCAUCCGGCGACGGAGCGCCAAUCUCAAAAACCCUUCUCAGUUCGGAUUGGAGUCUGCAACUCGACUCCAUGAAGUUGGAUUCGCUAGUAAUCGCGCAUCAGCCAUGGCGCGGUGAAUACGUUCCCGGGCCUUGUACACACCGCCCGUCAAGCCAUGGAAGCUUGGGGUGCCUGAAGUUCGUGACCGCAAGGAGCGACCUAGGGCAAAACAAGUAACUGGGGCUAAGUCGUAACAAGGUAACCGUA